This 500-nucleotide ribosomal RNA is filed under the name uncultured bacterium. RNAcentral's name for it is "partial 16S ribosomal RNA". It matches the Rfam family "Bacterial small subunit ribosomal RNA", at positions 30 to 523 of the family's 1533-position model. The record is from RNAcentral.
AUUGAACGCUGGCGGCAUGCCUUACACAUGCAAGUCGAACGGCAGCACGGGAGCAAUCCUGGUGGCGAGUGGCGAACGGGUGAGUAAUGUAUCGGAACGUGCCCGGUCGUGGGGGAUAACGUAGCGAAAGUUACGAUAAUCACGCAUACGAUCUUUGGAUGAAAGCGGGGGAUCGCAAGACCGCGCGCGAUUGGAGCGGCCGAUAUCAGAUUAGGUAGGUGGUGGGGUAAUGGCUCACCAAGCCGACGAUCUGUAGCUGGUCUGAGAGGACGACCAGCCACACUGGGACUGAGACACGGCCCAGACUCCUACGGGAGGCAGCAGUGGGGAAUUUUGGACAAUGGGCGCAAGCCUGAUCCAACAAUGCCGCGUGCAGGACGAAGGCCUUCGGGUUGUGAACUGCUUUUGUACGGAACGAAACGGCUCUUUUUAAUACAGAGGGUUAAUGACGGUACCGUAAGAAUAAGCACCGGCUAACUACGUGCCAGCCGCCGCAGUAA